AUUGAACGCUGGCGGCAGGCCUAACACAUGCAAGUCGAACGGUAACAGGAAGAAGCUUGCUUCUUUGCUGACGAGUGGCGGACGGGUGAGUAAUGUCUGGGAAACUGCCUGAUGGAGGGGGAUAACUACUGGAAACGGUAGCUAAUACCGCAUAACGUCGCAAGACCAAAAAGGGGGACCCUCGGGCCUCUUGCCAUCGGAUGUGCCCAGAUGGGAUUAGCUAGUAGGUGGGGUAACGGCUCACCUAGGCGACGAUCCCUAGCUGGUCUGAGAGGAUGACCAGCCACACUGGAACUGAGACACGGUCCAGACUCCUACGGGAGGCAGCAGUGGGGAAUAUUGCACAAUGGGCGCAAGCCUGAUGCAGCCAUGCCGCGUGUAUGAAGAAGGCCUUCGGGUUGUAAAGUACAUUCAGCGGGGAGGAAGGGAGUAAAGUUAAUACCUUUGCUCAUUGACGUUACCCGCAGAAGAAGCACCGGCUAACUCCGUG
This 490-nucleotide ribosomal RNA is filed under the name uncultured bacterium. RNAcentral's name for it is "partial 16S ribosomal RNA". It matches the Rfam family "Bacterial small subunit ribosomal RNA", at positions 30 to 507 of the family's 1533-position model. The record is from RNAcentral.